This is a long non-coding RNA of Schistocerca serialis cubense, 499 nucleotides long. RefSeq lists it as uncharacterized. Lineage: Eukaryota; Metazoa; Arthropoda; Insecta; Orthoptera; Acrididae. The record is from RefSeq and is a predicted model, not a curated record. The transcript is spliced from 3 exons.
AAGAUGGCGCAUUGUGAGCAGUAGUGAGGUGUCCGUGUGCCGUUCAAUUGUAAAUUACAUUCCGUAAAUGAGAUGGGGUGAAAAUGUGAAGUUCCGGGAAACGCAGUGAAAGUCGUUUGGUGUAUAUAUUUUUGUUUAAUUUAUUCCAGUACUCAUUAUUGUGAAGCAUCAUGGCAACUGAUAAAAUUAAAGUUGCGGUGAGGGUUCGCCCUUUCAACAGGCGAGAACUGGAGUUGGGAACCCAGUGCGUCGUUCGGAUGGAGGGUCAGCAGACCAUACUUCAUCACACUGAAAGGUAACUGGCAGAAGCAGAAUAAAUUACAAAAUCGCGUACGAGACAAAGAAGAAGGAACCACGACAUAAAAGAAGAACCCGUCGAACGUCGUAAAAAGAUCAUACUUUGCUGCAAUUUGCUAGUGUUCGCAUUAUGGCUAAGAGACCUGCAUAAUAUAUAUGUACAUGUAUAACUGAUAAGUAAAAUAAAGGAAUCUUAGUCGCA